UACGUAGGGUGCAAGCGUUAAUCGGAAUUACUGGGCGUAAAGCGUGCGCAGGCGGUGAUGUAAGACAGAUGUGAAAUCCCCCGGGCUCAACCUGGGAACUGCAUUUGUGACUGCAUCGCUGGAGUGCGGCAGAGGGGGAUGGAAUUCCGCGUGUAGCAGUGAAAUGCGUAGAUAUGCGGAGGAACACCGAUGGCGAAGGCAAUCCCCUGGGCCUGCACUGACGCUCAUGCACGAAAGCGUGGGGAGCAAACAGG
Molecule: ribosomal RNA, 254 nt
Filed under: uncultured bacterium
Lineage: Bacteria
Description: partial 16S ribosomal RNA
Rfam family: Bacterial small subunit ribosomal RNA
Source: RNAcentral